RNAcentral lists this ribosomal RNA (260 nucleotides) under uncultured bacterium. RNAcentral's name for it is "partial 16S ribosomal RNA". It matches the Rfam family "Bacterial small subunit ribosomal RNA", at positions 524 to 776 of the family's 1533-position model. The record is from RNAcentral.
CACGUAGGGCGCAAGCGUUGUCCGGAAUUAUUGGGCGUAAAGAGCUCGUAGGCGGUCUGUUGCGUCCGCUGUGAAAACUCGGGGCUUAACCCCGAGCCUGCAGUGGAUACGGGCAGACUAGAGGUAGGUAGGGGAGAAUGGAAUUCCCGGUGUAGCGGUGAAAUGCGCAGAUAUCAGGAAGAACACCUAUGGCGAAGGCACUCUGCUAGGCCUGAUUUCGCGACUGACACUCAGGGACGAGAGCCAGGGGAGCGAAUGGG